Molecule: ribosomal RNA, 495 nt
Filed under: uncultured bacterium
Lineage: Bacteria
Description: partial 16S ribosomal RNA
Rfam family: Bacterial small subunit ribosomal RNA
Source: RNAcentral
AUGAACGCUGGCGGCGUGCCUAAUCCCUGCCAGUCGAGCGAACAGACGAGGAGCUUGCUCCUCUGACGUUAGCGGCGGACGGGUGAGUAACACGUGGAUAACCUACCUAUAAGACUGGGAUAACUUCGGGAAACCGGAGCUAAUACCGGAUAAUAUAUUGAACCGCAUGGUUCAAUAGUGAAAGACGGUUUGCUGUCACUUAUAGAUGGAUCCGCGCCGCAUUAGCUAGUUGGUAAGGUAACGGCUUACCAAGGCAACGAUGCGUAGCCGACCUGAGAGGGUGAUCGGCCACACUGGAACUGAGACACGGUCCAGACUCCUACGGGAGGCAGCAGUAGGGAAUCUUCCGCAAAGGGCGAAAGCCUGACGGAGCAACGCCGCGUGAGUGAUGAAGGUCUUCGGAUCGUAAAACUCUGUUAUUAGGGAAGAACAAAUGUGUAAGUAACUAUGCACGUCUUGACGGUACCUAAUCAGAAAGCCACGGCUAACUACGUG